AGGAUAAUAGUUCAAAUAGAACAUUUAAUUUGCAUUUAAAAAAUAUAAACGAUUUAUUUAUCUUA
Molecule: transfer RNA, 65 nt
Filed under: Xyleborus sp. BMNH 1040067
Lineage: Eukaryota; Metazoa; Arthropoda; Insecta; Coleoptera; Curculionidae
Description: tRNA-Ala
Source: RNAcentral